Long non-coding RNA from Daucus carota subsp. sativus, 2298 nucleotides. RefSeq lists it as uncharacterized. Lineage: Eukaryota; Viridiplantae; Streptophyta; Magnoliopsida; Apiales; Apiaceae. The record is from RefSeq and is a predicted model, not a curated record. The transcript has 3 exons.
CCUUUUCUUGUUCUUGAACCUCUCAACUGAUUCACGCCUCUUCUCAUCACUAAACUUAAAUCCUUCCGAGACUGCAACCAAAAUCCCAAAAUAUAUCAAAAAAUAUUUAACAUACAAAACAAACGUGACAUUGCUAUUAAGCAUAAAGAAAUAAUUAAUUUAGAGUAAUUAAGAAAAUUUCUGAAAUUAUUAUUUUAUCAAAUUAAGCAUAAAAAAUGACAAAACAAGUAAAGGGGGGACAAAAUAUUUUAAGUCUGGAACAUUUUUGCCUUGUUCAGAGUGUAAGCAUAUGGUAAACCAUCAUAUUUUUCCCCUAAAUUGAAAUUAGGGUUUCGAAUUGAAAUUGAAAACAGAAAAAACAAGCUACUCACAGAUUACAAUGGGUAGAACAAAACAAUUGUCAAGAGAACACAGAAGAGAAUAGAUAUCAUGAGGAUAUGUAAAGGGGAAUUGAAGCCUGGAAACCAGGGCCAUGAUUCAACAUUGAAAGCUGUAACUUCAAUUGCUGAGUGUCUUAUUGGAGAUCACAUUGCUGCUAUUCUCUUCACUAAAAGAAUUGUUUUUACAGCAAUGGAAGGAAACAAAUGCUUUGUAUGAAAAUAUGGGUUUAAUGUAAUUGAAACUCAAACUGAUUAACGGUUGCUUCUUUGUGCAUUUUGGCAUGACGCUGAGAUUAAUUUACCGAAACUUUGUAUAUAUUUUUUAUGCCCAUGCCGAUCAUGAAUUUAUGAUAUUUUAAUGAAUAAAUAUGAGUAAGUCUAAAUAUUUUAUGAUAAAAAUAGUAGGAAAACACGAUGAAGAUGUGAAAUGAGCAUUUAUUCCAAAACAGGUGGGUGAGAUUUCUAGUUUAAAUAAUUUAGAAUGUAAUGAUCGAAGGAAUGAAAAUUAAGACAUUUUCUCUAAUUAUCACAAAUCUAUAUUAUAAAUUUUGUUUCAUUUUCUUCACAUUCCAUUAAUGUAAAUGCAGUGGUGCUUCAGGACUAGACUACAAAGAUGGGGUUGAAAAUAAGGUAGGAAUUGGUGUUAAAUGGAAUAUUACUCUGCCUGGGAUGAUAUACCUGGUCUUGUUAAUAGAUAUAGGAGAUGAAGUAACAACUUACGCUGUUGCCUGAAUUGGGACGAUGCAGAAGUUCAGGCUACUCUUUAAAUAGUUGAAUUUUUUUAACUCCCAGUGAUCGUAAAGAAUUUAUUAAAAAUCUUCUCGUUCCGUGCCAAAUUAUAUAAGCGAGAAUUUAGAUCUAUAAAUUAUUAUUAUUAUCAUUACAAAUAAAAAAAUCAAGUUCCCAAUUAUCUGAAAUUGAAUUACGGCACGUCCCAAGUUGAGGGGGGCCUUGAUCUAAUUGUGCUGAAAACCACUGCUAACUUUUUCUGGGAUAACAACAAGAACGCCGAGUUUGUUAAUGGCAAUUUUAGUGAAUUGACCACAUUUGGAAUCAGUAAUUGUUUUAUGUAAUCAGUAGAAAAAAAGUUAAUUUUGUCAUUGUUUCAUCCAAUUCAUAGUAUUAUUGAUCAUUUAGAUAAAACUAACUAGUAACUUGGUAUUUUCUUUGGAGGGUCUGUGUAGGAUGUCUUCCUACUGAGAAAGCUCUUGCUCAGAAAUGUGUCAGUGUUGAUAUACAAUGCCCAUGGUGUCACAGUGGCUUAGAGAGCGAUACUCAUGUUCUCUUCCUAUGCGAUUUUGCACAAACAGUAUGGGCGUAACAAAUGGGUCUGGGACAAAGCAAAUGGUUCUAUAUUUGGGGUUCGAGCUGCAGCCACCAAUUUACUACACGAUUGGCAGGAAGCACAAGUUUGUGGUCUAAAUAGCAACUCCCAAGGAACUGUUAGUGCAAGAAGAUGGCAGAAACCACCAGAUGGAUGGGUUAUAGUGAAUAUCGAUGCUGCAAUCUUUCAGAAUGGGAGCAUUGGAUUUGGGAUGUGUGAUACGAACUCACAGGGACAAUUUCAACGAGCGAGAUGCAGGAGAAUUGACGGAGCAUGGCAACCACGGGAGGCGGAAGCUUUAAGCUUGAAGGAGGCUCUAUCUUGGGUAAAAGAUCUCCAACUUAGCCACUGUAUGUUUCAGUCAGACUCGAAAGUGCUGGUAAAUGCAUGCAAUGGUAAGGCAGGAGAAGCGUAUUUUGGUACUAUUGUGCUGGACUGUGUUCAGCUAUUGAAGCACAUAAAUCACGUGCUAGUUGAGUUUAUCUAUAGGUCUGCGAAUAGUGUAGCGCAUUUGUUAGCACAAGCUGCAUAUUCUAUGUCAGACUUAGGGAGUGGCAUGUUAAUCCACCUGAUUUUAUUACUCAUGUACUUGAU